GCCAGGGUGGUCGAGUCUGGUAAGACGCUGGACUUAUGAUCCAGUUGACACAUGCACCUGUGUCACACGGGUUCAAAUCCCGUCCCUGGCG
This 91-nucleotide transfer RNA is filed under the name Nanobdellota archaeon. RNAcentral describes it as "tRNA-Ile". It matches the Rfam family "tRNA". From Rfam's summary of the family: Transfer RNA (tRNA) molecules are approximately 80 nucleotides in length. Their secondary structure includes four short double-helical elements and three loops (D, anti-codon, and T loops). Lineage: Archaea; Nanobdellati; Nanobdellota. The record is from RNAcentral.